RNAcentral lists this ribosomal RNA (480 nucleotides) under uncultured bacterium. RNAcentral describes it as "bacterial SSU rRNA". It matches the Rfam family "Bacterial small subunit ribosomal RNA", at positions 975 to 1482 of the family's 1533-position model. The record is from RNAcentral.
CCAGGCUUGACAUCCUUGGAAGCUCUUCGAAAGAAGAGUGUGCUUUUAGAGCCAAGUGACAGGUGAUGCAUGGCCGUCGUCAGCUCGUGUCGUGAGAUGUUUGGUUAAGUCCAUCAACGAGCGCAACCCUUGUGAUUAGUUGAAUUUUUCUAAUCAGACUGCCCUGGUAACAGGGAGGAAGGAGGGGAUGAUGUCAGGUCAGUAUUUCCCUUACGUCUGGGGCUACAAACACGCUACAAUGGCCGGUACAAAGGGCAGCCAAGUCGCGAGACGGAGCAAAUCCCAUCAAAGCCGGUCCCAGUUCGGAUAGCAGGCUGAAACUCGCCUGCUUGAAGUCGGAAUCGCUAGUAACGGUAGGUCAGCUAUACUACCGUGAAUACGUUCCCGGGUCUUGUACACACCGCCCGUCAAACCAUGAAAGUCGCCAAUACCUGACGUACCGGCUUGUCCGGUCCUAGGGUAGGGGAGAUGAUUGGGGUU